ACAGGACUGCCCCUACUCCUCUGAGCACAUAUCUGGAGAACAGGGUUCGGAUAUGGAGGGCCCUCCUUCUAUACUCAAUAUCCCUCACUGGAACCGUCUUGGUUUGGGUUCUCGCUAACCCACCCACAUUGAACUACCAUCAAGGAGACCUACUGUGGAUUCUAUGGAGGAACCCUGUGUGUCCCCAGCUCCUACACGGACAUCACGAGUUGGGACACAACCUACCGCUGGAGUACUGCUCAGGAU
This is a non-coding RNA of Pelobates cultripes (western spadefoot toad), 246 nucleotides long. NCBI's taxonomy places the organism in Eukaryota, Metazoa, Chordata, Amphibia, Anura, Pelobatidae. The record is from the annotation of a GenBank genome assembly.